This 402-nucleotide ribosomal RNA is filed under the name uncultured bacterium. RNAcentral's name for it is "partial 16S ribosomal RNA". It matches the Rfam family "Archaeal small subunit ribosomal RNA", at positions 473 to 873 of the family's 1478-position model. The record is from RNAcentral.
ACACCGGCAGCUCAAGUGGUAGCCGCUUUUAUUGGGCCUAAAGCGUCCGUAGCCGGUCUGAUAAGUCUCUGGUGAAAUCCCACAGCUUAACUGUGGGAAUUGCUGGAGAUACUAUCAUGACUCGAGGUCGGGAGAGGCUGGAGGUACUCCCAGGGUAGGGGUGAAAUCCUGUAAUCCUGGGAGGACCACCUGUGGCGAAGGCGUCCAGCUGGAACGAACCUGACGGUGAGGGACGAAAGCCAGGGGCGCGAACCGGAUUAGAUACCCGGGUAGUCCUGGCCGUAAACGAUGUGGACUUGGUGUUGGGAUGGCCUCGAGCUGCCCCAGUGCCGAAGGGAAGCUGUUAAGUCCACCGCCUGGGAAGUACGGUCGCAAGACUGAAACUCAAAGGAAUUGACGGGG